UCCCCAGGUCUGCUCCAUAUGGCCCACAGUCCUCAUUGCAACUCCCACAUACCUGACCCAGCCAAGAUGCCUCGCUGAUGUCCUGAAAUCUCCCCCUCACACCUUCCCCCAUUCCUGAGUACAGGCAACCAAAUAGCUUGGGAAUCCUCCCAGUCAGUCCUGUGUGGCUCCAUAAAACUCCUCUACAAUCCUCUUCUCUGUUGUAUGGAGUAAAGAACAGUUAUGUACUGUGGGAACUUCCUGGGAUAUUAGUUUGUGUGCUGUUUGCUAAUUGUCCUCCCUACCUUCAACUGCAAGGUGGCCUGACUCCCUGGCAGACUCCCAGGAGAAUGGGAACAGGAUUGGCUGUGGAUGCACCCAGUGAUGGCACAGCCCUGGACAUCCAUUUCAGGAAGCAUUUCAGGGCAAGAGCUACGCUGGGCACUAAGAUGGCAGAACUGCAGGGCUUCCAGGGGCUGCAGAUGCUCGUAUAAAGAUUUCCAUGGGUGGAUGGCAACUCCAAGGUGCCACCCUGCCAUGACUGAACAGGGGCGUUGAGAAGAGCAGCAGCGCAGGCUUCUGUAGAACUUCCAGCCACAGACGCAGUGGAACUAAGGAAGCUCGAGAGCCCAGGCGGCACAUGAAGCCAAGGAAGCUUAGCUGGGAAAGCCCUGAUCUUGGAGAUCUUUACUUGGAAUU
Molecule: long non-coding RNA, 678 nt
Organism: Galeopterus variegatus (Sunda flying lemur)
Lineage: Eukaryota; Metazoa; Chordata; Mammalia; Dermoptera; Cynocephalidae
Exons: 3
Source: RefSeq, a predicted model, not a curated record